RNAcentral lists this transfer RNA (68 nucleotides) under Tympanuchus cupido (greater prairie chicken). Its description in RNAcentral is "tRNA-Glu". It matches the Rfam family "tRNA". Rfam says of the family: Transfer RNA (tRNA) molecules are approximately 80 nucleotides in length. Their secondary structure includes four short double-helical elements and three loops (D, anti-codon, and T loops). Lineage: Eukaryota; Metazoa; Chordata; Aves; Galliformes; Phasianidae. The record is from RNAcentral.
GUUCCUGUAGUUGAGAACAACAAUGGCUUUUCAAGCCGUAGUCCUUGGGAUUAGUCCAAGCAGGAAUA